UGGGGAAUAUUGGGCAAUGGGCGCAAGCCUGACCCAGCAACGCCGCGUGAGGGAAGAAGGCUUUCGGGUUGUAAACCUCUGUCCUUGGUGUCGAAACAAAUGACGGUAGCCAAGGAGGAAGCCCCGGCUAACUACGUGCCAGCAGCCGCGGUAAUACGGAGGGGGCGAGCGUUGUCCGGAAUUACUGGGCGUAAAGGGUGCGUAGGUGGCCUUUUAAGUUGGAUGUGAAAUACCCGGGCUUAACUUGGGGGGUGCAUCCAAAACUGGAAGGCUAGAGUGCAGGAGAGGAAAGCGGAAUUCCUAGUGUAGCGGUGAAAUGCGUAGAUAUUAGGAGGAACACCAGUGGCGAAGGCGGCUUUCUGGACUGUAACUGACACUGAGGCACGAAAGCGUGGGGAGCAAACA
This 405-nucleotide ribosomal RNA is filed under the name uncultured bacterium. Its description in RNAcentral is "bacterial SSU rRNA". It matches the Rfam family "Bacterial small subunit ribosomal RNA", at positions 355 to 774 of the family's 1533-position model. The record is from RNAcentral.